UGCCCGGUAGCUCAGUGGUAGAGCGGGCGGCUGUUAACCGCUUGGUCGCUGGUUCGAGUCCGGCCCGGGCAG
Molecule: transfer RNA, 72 nt
Filed under: Abditibacteriaceae bacterium
Lineage: Bacteria; Pseudomonadati; Abditibacteriota; Abditibacteriia; Abditibacteriales; Abditibacteriaceae
Description: Abitibacteriaceae bacterium (rhizosphere metagenome) tRNA-Asn
Rfam family: tRNA
About the family: Transfer RNA (tRNA) molecules are approximately 80 nucleotides in length. Their secondary structure includes four short double-helical elements and three loops (D, anti-codon, and T loops).
Source: RNAcentral